RNAcentral lists this ribosomal RNA (468 nucleotides) under uncultured bacterium. Its description in RNAcentral is "partial 16S ribosomal RNA". It matches the Rfam family "Bacterial small subunit ribosomal RNA", at positions 28 to 507 of the family's 1533-position model. The record is from RNAcentral.
GACGAACGCUGGCGGCGUGCCUAACACAUGCAAGUCGAACGGAAAGGCCCUGCUUUUGUGGGGCGCUCGAGUGGCGAACGCGUGAGUAACACGUGAGUAAACUGCCCUUGACUUUGGGAUAAAUUUAGGAAAAACGGGCGAAUACCGGAUAGGAUCUUCUGCAGCAUGGUGGGGGAUGGAAAGUUUCGGCGGUUGGGGAUGGACUCGCGGCUUAUCAGCUUGUUGGUGGGGUAGUGGCUUACCAAGGCUUUGACGGGUAGCCGGCCUGAGAGGGUGACCGGCCACAUUGGGACUGAGAUACGGCCCAGACUCCUACGGGAGGCAGCAGUGGGGAAUAUUGCACAAUGGGCGGAAGCCUGAUGCAGCAACGCCGCGUGCGGGAUGACGGCCUUCGGGUUGUAAACCGCUUUCGCCUGUGACGAAGCGUGAGUGACGGUAAUGGGUAAAGAAGCACCGGCUAACUACGUG